Molecule: ribosomal RNA, 612 nt
Filed under: uncultured bacterium
Lineage: Bacteria
Description: bacterial SSU rRNA
Rfam family: Bacterial small subunit ribosomal RNA
Source: RNAcentral
GAGUUUGAUCCUGGCUCAGAACGUACGCUGGCGGCACGCCUAACACAUGCAAGUCGAACGAAGUAGCAAUACCUAGUGGCAGACGGGUGAGUAACAUGUAGGUAUCUGCCCUUUGGCCUGGAAUAACACGAGGAAACUUGUGCUAAUACUGGAUAAGUCUUUACGGAGAAAGCUUUAUGCACCAUUGGAUGAGCCUGCACUUGAUUAGUUUGUUGGUGGGGUAAUGGCCUACCAAGACUGUGAUCAAUAGCUGAUUUGAGAGGAUGAUCAGCCACAUUGGGACUGAGACACGGCCCAAACUCCUACGGGAGGCAGCAGUGGGGAAUCUUGCACAAUGGAGGAAACUCUGAUGCAGCGAUGCCGCGUGAGUGAAGAAGGCCUUUGGGUUGUAAAGCUCUUUCGUCGGGGAAGAAAAUGACUGUACCCGAAUAAGAAGGUCCGGCUAACUUCGUGCCAGCAGCCGCGGUAAUACGAAGGGACCUAGCGUAGUUCGGAAUUACUGGGCUUAAAGAGUUCGUAGGUGGUUGAAAAAGUUGGUGGUGAAAUCCCAGAGCUUAACUCUGGAACUGCCAUCAAAACUUUUCAGCUAGAGUAUGAUAGAGGAAAGCAGAA